Musa acuminata subsp. malaccensis (wild Malaysian banana) is the source of this 390-nucleotide non-coding RNA. The record is from RefSeq and is a predicted model, not a curated record. Lineage: Eukaryota; Viridiplantae; Streptophyta; Magnoliopsida; Zingiberales; Musaceae.
CCUUCUGCCCAGAACUCAAAUGGCUGCAGAUGAAGCAGAAGCUUGUUUGGUGCAAAGACAUGCUAAUCGAAAUCGAACCCUGGAAGAAACAGGUUUAAGAAUCCUCCAAGUAAUGUGCUGUUCAUGCGUUUCAUGAAAGGAUCACUUGCAGCUGGCAUGAUGCAUGACCAACACAAAGACAGAUAGCAGAUGGAACUUUCUUGGCCUCCGAGGUGUUACCUCGAAUGCCCUGCUCUCUCCCUGUCCUCUAUCGAGGAGGAAGCUCCGUAGCCAUACGACACCGGCGAGCAGUAUGCGGUUGUGCCAGCCUUGGCUGUGGAGCCAGAAUAUCUCCAUCGAUUCUCAAGCUUCGACUCAAGGACUGGAAGGAACGACGGUGGAACAAGUUCC